CCCUCUUUUCCCUACCCGAUUCCCAGGCAGCCAGUGAUUUCCUUUCUUUCACUAGAUGAUAGUUUGUACUUCCUAGAUUUCAUGUAAAUGAAAUCAUAAAGUAUGAUGUUUUUUAGGCUUGCCUCUUUCAUGAAUCAUAGUUAUUUUUUGUAUAUCAACAGUUUAUUCCUUUUUAUUGCUAAAUAGCAUUUCAUUACAUGAGCAGAUAACAGUUUAUUUAUUCAUCUGUGGAUGAGCCUUUGGUUUGUUUCUUUUUUCAGCUAUCAUAAAAGGACUAUGGAUAUUUCUGAUAUAAGCCCUAGAAGUUGCCAAGAUAAUUUCCAAAUUAGUUUCAACAUUAUACAUUCACCAGAAAUGUAUGAGAGUUCCAGCUCUUCCAUAUCCUGGCCAAAUUUGGAAUGAUCUUACAUCCAUGGAUGUGACUGUCUGAGCAAGUGGAAGAAGCCAUGGUAUAACACAGAUUAAAUUAUCUCAGUGAUGAUGGUAAUCAUUUCCAAAAGAAGGUAGUGGUCCUCUUCCCUGAACUGUAAGAACUGUGAUUUCAUGCACUCCAAGUUGAGAACCCCUGCAGGAUCCUGAGUUGACUAAAUCCUAAUCAGUACGGCAGUCAAAGAUUCCGUAGUGCCUGGCCAUUGUAUGGAAAGAUCAGUCUUCUCAAGGUUAUUAAAAUCUCCCAUAAUAUAUUCACUGUGUACUUACAUGAAUACAAUGAUGUCAACUAAAAUACAAUUUAUUUCAAAUUUUUAAUUUUGUGUUGUCUAUUAAGUAUGCUUACAUUUUUAUGUCAACAUGGUUUCACUUUUUAUGUUAGAAAAUGCUAAGCAAUAAAUGCUACAGCUGAAUGUUGAAAGGUAUUAGUGUUGCUUGAAGCUCACCAAAUAAACACCCAGAUACUCCACGGGUAUAGCCCAGUCCUGACCUUCAGUGGAUAGGAAACUAUUCAGUGAAAUGUAAUGCACAGUACUGGAUUAUGGUCAGUGGAAUUUUUCAAAAUAAAUUAUCCAUAUCUGUAUUACUUGAUUCGGCUUGACUCCUCUUUUAACUAAAGUAUGUUUUAACUGUUUUUUUUCUUUUUUCUUUUUUUUUUUUUUGAGACAGAGACUCCCUCUGUCGCACAGGCUGGAAUGGAGUGCAGUGGCACGAUCGCGGCUCACUGCAAGCUCCGCCUCCGGGGUUCACACCAUUCUCCUGCCUCAGCCUCCCAAGUAGCUGGGACUACAGGAGCCCGCCACUACACCCGGCUAAUUUUUUGUAUUUUUAGUGGAGACGGGGUUUCACCGGGUUAGCCAGGAUGGUCUCGAUCUCCCGACCUCGUCAUCUGCCCGCCUCAGCCUCCCAAAGUGCUGGGAUUACAGGCGUGAGCCACCACGCCCGGCCCAACUAUUUUUUAUUAAUUACUGGCAAACUCCUAUUUUCCAGCCACUUCUGUUAUUCUUAUAAAACACUUUUACACUAUUUACAAAUGUGCAUUAAUACAAAAUUAUUGGUUUAUGCGAUUUCUCAAAAAAAUUUCAUCAUGUACCUCAAAGCUUAAGGUAGUUGGAGGUUCAAGUUCCAAUUAGAACUUAGUGCAAAUCCCUUCUGCAGAUACAAGUAUAGUAAAAUAAUUAUUGCCUGGGAAUUUCAGAAACCUUUUAUAGCUCCUGCUAUUGUCUUCUUGCCAAAAUGAACUAUCUGCUCAUUUAUUCUAAAUUAGAAUUGUGCAGUUAACAAAGAUCAAGAAGAUUAAAAACAUGGUGUGAAGCCAGUUUAGCAUAACAUUUAGUAUUUCCUUUUGUAAGUACUGCUCUCCUGUGCUUAGUUAAGUAUUAUUUAAGAUACUAUUGGAUCUUUAUAGAAUGUUCCCAUGAUUAAAAUUUAAUUUUGACACUACAACAUGUACAAAGUUCUGUCAAGUAUUAUUAAUGAUUAAACAAUGAGGAAAUAUGUUAUUACAGUGUGUUCAAUCUUUAAUGUCCAUUAAAUCCACUUGGUAAGUGUAAGUGGAAAUGAUACUAACUACAAUUCUCAUUCUCUAGUCCUUUACACAUUAUAAAGAAAUGAGGAUCUUACAAUACCAAUCAAUAAGUGAUGAAAAGAAACUGUGCGUGGUGGCUGAAAUUUGAAUGGGCCUUUCACAGAAAUCUUAUUAUUCUCCUACUAGGGACAGUGCAGAACAGACAUUCCACUUCCCGCUUUGUAAGCAAAUGCCUAGGCGUGUAGCACUGUGAUUAUAUUUCUAUCUUCGGCCUUAGAUCAUCUUCAGCAUCAGAGAGUUCUGAAAAUCCCAUUAAGAAGUCAUUUCAAGGAAACAUAAAUGUUCUUUGAAAUAAUCUUCAAUGCUUUUCUAAUUUUUUAUAUUAAUGUCUCCUGCAACCCUCUUCCCAGAAUGGGUAAUAAAUCCUCUUAUAUUUAUGCACAGAGAGAUAUGUAUAUACAGUUUAUUUACUUCCUGUUUUAAUUGCUGUCCUAACUAAAUACAACACAUGUAAUGCAAAUGUUUGCCAAACUUUGUAUGGGUUGUACUUAACAUGUAUAACACUGGCAUUUUAGCUGAACUGAUCGUGACAAAGCAUUCCUGAAUAAAAAUUACUUUUUUAGAAAGGAAACAGUUCUGUUGCAAAAUCAAGUUUUUACUUUUUCUUAUGGUUUUGUAGCCUAACGAAAAAUGAAUACAUGAUGAAAUGUAUCCCAAUUUCCUUCCACUUUUAAUUGAUCUUCAUAGGCUUGAGGGAAUUUGUCUUUAUAUUCAUCUCCCAGGGAGAAUUUCCACCAAAUUAUUUGAGUGAGUUAUCAUCAUUCAACUUUGCCUGGC
Molecule: long non-coding RNA, 2794 nt
Filed under: Homo sapiens (human)
Lineage: Eukaryota; Metazoa; Chordata; Mammalia; Primates; Hominidae
Description: HSALNT0031523
Source: RNAcentral